AUGAGACUGAGCAUGGAGACGCUACGGGCAACGACUAUUCGGACAGGGGUUCAACUCCCCUCGCCUCCACUU
This 72-nucleotide transfer-messenger RNA is filed under the name Verrucomicrobia bacterium 12-59-8. RNAcentral's name for it is "partial transfer-messenger RNA". It matches the Rfam family "transfer-messenger RNA", at positions 302 to 374 of the family's 374-position model. Rfam says of the family: Bacterial tmRNA, also known as 10Sa RNA or SsrA, is named for its dual tRNA and mRNA-like properties. Its role is to liberate the mRNA from a stalled ribosome. To accomplish this part of the tmRNA is used as a reading frame that ends in a translation stop signal. Lineage: Bacteria; Pseudomonadati; Verrucomicrobiota. The record is from RNAcentral.